This 500-nucleotide ribosomal RNA is filed under the name uncultured bacterium. RNAcentral describes it as "partial 16S ribosomal RNA". It matches the Rfam family "Bacterial small subunit ribosomal RNA", at positions 30 to 523 of the family's 1533-position model. The record is from RNAcentral.
AUUGAACGCUGGCGGCAUGCCUUACACAUGCAAGUCGAACGGCAGCGGGGACUUCGGUCCGCCGGCGAGUGGCGAACGGGUGAGUAAUGUAUCGGAACGUACCAUUGAGUGGGGGAUAACGUAGCGAAAGUUACGCUAAUACCGCAUAUUCUCUCCGGAGGAAAGCAGGGGACCGCAAGGCCUUGCGCUCUUUGAGCGGCCGAUAUCAGAUUAGCUAGUUGGUGAGGUAAAGGCUCACCAAGGCGACGAUCUGUAGCGGGUCUGAGAGGAUGAUCCGCCACACUGGAACGGAGACACGGUCCAGACGCCGACGGGAGGCAGCAGUGGGGAAUUUUGGACAAUGGGGGCAACCCUGAUCCAGCCAUGCCGCGUGAGUGAAGAAGGCCUUCGGGUUGUAAAGCUCUUUCAGCCGGGAAAAAACCGCAUGGGCUAAUACCCUGUGUGGAUGAUGGUACCGGAAUAAGAAGCACCGGCUAACUACGUGCCAGCCGCCGCCGUAA